This 254-nucleotide ribosomal RNA is filed under the name uncultured bacterium. RNAcentral describes it as "partial 16S ribosomal RNA". It matches the Rfam family "Bacterial small subunit ribosomal RNA", at positions 524 to 776 of the family's 1533-position model. The record is from RNAcentral.
UACGUAGGGACCAAGCGUUGUUCGGAUUUACUGGGCGUAAAGGGCGCGUAGGCGGCGUGACAAGUCACUUGUGAAAUCUCCGGGCUUAACCCGGAACGGCCAAGUGAUACUGUCGUGCUAGAGUGCAGAAGGGGCAAUCGGAAUUCUUGGUGUAGCGGUGAAAUGCGUAGAUAUCAAGAGGACCACCUGAGGUGAAGACGGGUUGCUGGGCUGACACUGACGCUGACAGCGCGAAAGCUAGGGGAGCAAACGGG